AGAAGAGGCACGGAGUUGGGCCAUGGCGGCGACAGCGGCGCGACGAGGAGGACGGAAGGGAACUGUGCAGAAAGCAAAACGCGGCCGAGCUUCAUCUGGACAGUCUUUGCUGAUGACCUUCUCGAUUUUACUCUGGGUUAUUACAUACUCCAAUUUCCCCAAUUAGUAAGAGGAUUUAAGUUGGAUAAAGCUUUUGGGGGUUUCUUUGAUAUUUAUUUACAAAAAACGGCACAGAUGAAGGCAUGUACAAUAAACAGUCCAGUGAACAUCAA
Molecule: long non-coding RNA, 272 nt
Organism: Thamnophis sirtalis
Lineage: Eukaryota; Metazoa; Chordata; Lepidosauria; Squamata; Natricidae
Source: RefSeq, a predicted model, not a curated record